UGGAGCCGACCUUGAAAUACCACCCUUUAAUGUUUGAUGUUCUAACGUGGACCCGUGAUCCGGGUUGCGGACAGUGUCUGGUGGGUAGUUUGACUGGGGCGGUCUCCUCCUAAAGAGUAACGGAGGAGCACGAAGGUUGGCUAAUCCUGGUCGGACAUCAGGAGGUUAGUGCAAUGGCAUAAGCCAGCUUGACUGCGAGCGUGACGGCGCGAGCAGGUGCGAAAGCAGGUCAUAGUGAUCCGGUGGUUCUGAAUGGAAGGGCCAUCGCUCAACGGAUAAAAGGUACUCCGGGGAUAACAGGCUGAUACCGCCCAAGAGUUCAUAUCGACGGCGGUGUUUGGCACCUCGAUGUCGGCUCAUCACAUCCUGGGGCUGAAGUAGGUCCCAAGGGUAUGGCUGUUCGCCAUUUAAAGUGGUACGCGAGCUGGGUUUAGAACGUCGUGAGACAGUUCGGUCCCUAUCUGCCGUGGGCGCUGGAGAACUGAGGGGGGCUGCUCCUAGUACGAGAGGACCGGAGUGGACGCAUCACUGGUGUUCGGGUUGUCAUGCCAAUGGCACUGCCCGGUAGCUAAAUGCGGAAGAGAUAAGUGCUGAAAGCAUCUAAGCACGAAACUUGCCCCGAGAUGAGUUCUCCCUGAGACUUUAGGUCUCCUGAAGGAACGUUGAAGACGACGACGUUGAUAGGCCGGGUGUGUAAGCGCAGCGAUGCGUUGAGCUAACCGGUACUAAUGAACCGUGAGGCUUAACCUU
RNAcentral lists this ribosomal RNA (750 nucleotides) under Salmonella enterica subsp. enterica serovar Falkensee. RNAcentral's name for it is "partial 23S ribosomal RNA". It matches the Rfam family "Bacterial large subunit ribosomal RNA", at positions 2181 to 2925 of the family's 2925-position model. Lineage: Bacteria; Pseudomonadati; Pseudomonadota; Gammaproteobacteria; Enterobacterales; Enterobacteriaceae. The record is from RNAcentral. RNAcentral also lists the same sequence under 1 other name.